Long non-coding RNA from Anas platyrhynchos (mallard), 2748 nucleotides. RefSeq lists it as uncharacterized. The record is from RefSeq and is a predicted model, not a curated record. NCBI's taxonomy places the organism in Eukaryota, Metazoa, Chordata, Aves, Anseriformes, Anatidae.
GCAUCUUAAUUUAGCUUAAUGGGUGAUACAUCUCCUCAACAGAUGCUAUGGGCAUAGAGAACUACUGAUGGGUCUUGCUCAGCUUCAUAACUGUGCCCUGAGUCAGGUGUCCUGAAUCAUCUGUUUGUAUGUCUUUGUUUUCUUUAAAUACCAGAGUUUCUGGGCUUUGUUUAUUUGUAUUUUGUAGACUUCAAAGAGACUCCUCUGGAUAUUCUUAGGAAGUUAAACUGCAGUCCCUGCCCCAGCUAGCAAAUGGCUUGAUCUGUGCUGUUCUGUUGUCUUUCAGCUGGUGUAGGAACCUCAUGUUUAUUUUUGCCUUCUUGUCUUCUGGAACAUGUGUCUGCAUAGCAGUUUACCCUACUCUUUUUUGUAAGCAACCAACUUCAAAGCCUUCUUGUUUGUGAACCUAGCAAGACACAACAGAGCCACUCUUGCAACAGUGUAUUGCGAGUGGCCUAAGAAACUACUGUUGCUGCUGGCAUAACUUCUUUCUGAGUUAACACUGAGGGAGCAUCAGAUGAAACUGGGAGCUGUGCCAUGACAGUGGAUUGUCAGCAGCUGAAGUGCAGUCCAGAAAUGGAAAAUGUAUUUUUAUAUCUUCUGCUAUACUCUUCUAAGGAACUUUGAUUUUUUUUUUCCUGUUUUGCUUGCCAACCUAGCUAGAAGUGUACAUAUUCUUAAAUUAUUAUUCUAUGUUAAAGAAUUUUAGUAUUAACACAUGCCCCUUUCAAAAUAGAGCAAUAUUCUGAGUAAGGAUUUGAAAGGGAAGAAUAUUUUAUCCAUUAAAAAUGUAUUUUUUUCCUAUUUGUUUGCUUACUUUUACUUCCAUGAGACUCUAAGCAACAUGUGAUACUACUGCCACCCUAUAUUUGAGUAUUAUUUUAUAGAGAGCAUGAAUAUAGACAGGAUGAUUGUUUUGUGGUAGAUUCUUUUUCUUAAAGAGUGUUGAAACCAUAAGCAAUGAAGCCAUGCACCACAAAAAGAGCUGAAACCUUCGCGUGGCUCUGACACUGCUCUUUACAGGUGUUUUAACAUCAGAAGCCUGCCAAGAAUUAGGACUCCAAAACUGUCUCAAUGCCUAGUCUCCCCCACUCUGUUCCUCUACUGAGCAGCUCUUCUCUCCCCUCUUUUCCAGAAGGUGUCACUGUAAGGCAAUGGUGGUCAAAAAGCCUGUAGAUUUAAAAAUAAACGUGAAAAGGACUUCAUGGCUCUUUUUUCUUGCAGUGAUUAUUUAACUCCUAAUAAAUCAAUAUCAACAGCAUAAAACGUUAGAACGGGAACAAGAAAUGGGAGCAUCAAAGUUUCUCCUUAAUUUGAUUUUACAGCCUGAGAACAUUUCAUCCCAAAGAAAAUUCAGCUUCUCAGACCACUAGCUUAAUAGUUGUGAAAUCAGCAAAAUGACCAUGCAGUUUUAAAGCCCACACUUUUAAUGCUAAUAUUCUGGUCACGCAGGCAUACAUCUGAGAAGCACGUGCAUACCACUGGAUGCAACUGCAUAAAGAAAAGCUGCAAACAAAAACAUUUAUUUUUUCAGGUAUUCAGUGAGAUUUGAUUUGUUUUCAGACUUCAUCUUGCAUUGUGCCGUGGGUCUCAACACAACAUGUCAGAGGCUAUUAUGACAUGAAUGGGUGUCAGAUUUGGAAAAUAUUGCUUAUAUGGGUAAAGAUUGCAAAGCAGUGCCACAAAGGUGGAUGAGUGUGAGGCCUCCAGCUCUCUGAAAGGGAUGUGAAUACUAAAAUGAAAUGCUAAUACUUGGAUAUAGGAACAAUAAGCCAGAAGUGCAUUAGUAGGCAACAAGUGAAUGGAAGAAAGCUCAAGUUAUGAAAGUAGACUAAUGAGCUGCAGCUAUGCUGUCAUUGUAAAAUGUAAGUAUGGCCUCGAAUAAAACAGGAGAAGUGUUUCUUGUGAAGCCAGAAGAGCUUUAGCACCUCUGACCUGAGGCUGUCUGAGCACUCACCUGGAAGGCUGCACCCAGCUCUGGUUGUUCACCUUCAGAGGCGGUGAGCAUAGGCUGGAAGUGGAAAAGCACUGGCACGCUUGGGGAAGCCAACUGCAGCACGGGAGAAACAUUACUGAAGAUGUAGCCAUCAGAGACGAGAGAGGAGGGGCAAGCAGGAGGGAGCAAGGCAAACAUCUGAGCUUUAUAUGGUUUUAACAUCUGGGCCUUCUGAGUCGUUCCAUGCCUGCUCGCCUUAUUAGAGGGUUUGGUGCUGGAGUUCUCCGACUGAAUGCCAGAGACCUUCCCUUUGUUUUUCUCAGUGACGUACACGAGAACUUUGAGGUGGUGUAAGAACAGAGGGAUUCGUGGCUAAUAAAUACUUCAUCUAAAUGGGUGGUUUUGGUCAUAGUGGAGAGCUUGUGUCAUGCCAUAGCUGCUCGGGUAUUCUCAGCAGUAUCUUAUCUGUGAUCUCACACCUCCUGAUCAGAAGGCACCCCUCUGAUGUGACCCCAGGGUAAGUGAUAGGAUCAGUCCUUCCAAGGACCAUUGCUGGUAAUUCCUUUCCAAGGUCAGCAUAUCUCUUUUCUGUUAGUUAUCAGGACUCUGAUCUCACUACUCAUUCACUAGUGAAUCAGGAGAAAAUCCACUGCCAUAGAAGCAUGUGUUUUAUCAUUUUAGAUUAUAUCAGGAAUUCACUUCUGAAAAGAGUCCCCUGUUAUCCCCACUUUUUGCAGCUUGUUCGCUCCAAGAGCACACCACUAAAUUGACCAAACUGGCUAGCUUUCAAACCAUAAGAUGAGAUCUAGCCA